UGGUGGGCAGGUGUGUGUGUUGCGCUCCGUCAGCCGCGAUGCCGUGAGGCGGGGUGGUGUGCAGUGUCAAAAGUGCUACAUCUCGAACAACUUUUGUGAUGAUACGACUUGAGGUGUUUCCAGCGGGUCACGGAUUACGUAUAGCCCUUGUCCAGGCCUAGUGAGGCAGCGAUCUCGCGGCUGUGGCUUAUAUCCGAGGAAGGUUUGUUGAAUUUUAGAUCGUCAACACCAACCAACGGGCGGCUGGGUGGCUGAUGGGCCCGAUAGCGAGCGACAGACGUGGCUCGGAAAGGAAGCUUUGAUUCGAACUUUUCCCCUCCAUGUCAUUCAUGGCGGCUCAAAUCAGUUUACGAAGAGUAUUGGCACCAUAAUGAUAACAUACAUUAAGAUUGUGGCAGGAACUGAUGCCUCUGGAAUAGAAAAUUUAUUGGUUUUAGCCUGUGCCAUGUAGUGCUUGCCACGAUUCAUUCAUUGCUUCAGAAUAUAAUCGAGCAACGUCGUUAGUUUGUAGCAACUCAAAGAGGAAAAUGAGAACGCAGACAGAAAUCAACUAAUACUGUUGACGAUGGAAAGGUAUAAGAAAAACCUACUAACAAAAAGAUUUCACUGAAGAUUAUCAAUUAACACAACUGCAACAGAAUCAAAUUGAGAAAUCAAACUAGUCUUGCGAAGCUGAUGUAUACUCUCGUCUUUGUAUGAGCACUACGGAACGCUUGCCAUCCACACAGGAGAGGGUGUACCCCUGCCCUGUGUAAUAGUGUGUAUUGUUGUGUGUGUGUUGGCGGGCAGCGGGGCAGUGAGAGCAGUGAGAGCAACAGGAGCAUCGUGACACGCGCGCACGCCUACAGUGAAAGUGAAGACCUGGGCCUUGCAGAAUUCACCAUUUGAGUCUUCCUGAGGAACAGUUACGCCAGAAAGACAAACAGAGGUUGUCCUAGCACCUCCUUACCAUGUUGAGAGGGAAGGACCCGAGGAAGGGACGCUGCACGGGUGUGACCGCAUCUCACCACCGAGGCCGCCUUUCACUGCCAUUGUGAUCCACACGCCCUACGCCCUCACGACACCACCUGCCCCACACCACCGCCUCGCCAUUCACGCCGCUCUCACAAUCCUCUCAGCUCACCUGAUGGCCGCUUUUAUUAGUGAUGGUGUAUUGUUAUUAUUAUUGUUAUGUUACACACACACACACACACACACACACACACACACACACACACACCUCGCACUAUCCAAGUUUGGCGCUCAUCCUAUGUCUUUGCGUCCAAUAUUAUCACCCCGAGUUUCGAACAGCUUCGACAAGUAUCGGUCGUGUUAACCUGCCGUCGGCGUCACUGACUCAAGACUCCAAUGAGAUCUUCCAUAUCUGUAACACUGACAAUGUCAUACCCACGAAUGGGUAACAUUUUGGCCACCUGAAGCAAUGAGUCCAUGGUGGCUGCUGCUACACUGUCUCAUGCGUUGCACUGAGCUCACCGCCACUCAUUUCUGCCUCGACCCACGGGAGACCUCUCCUCCACCCAUGCUUCACUGUAGCGAUGUUGACAAAGUGCCAACAUUUCACCAUUACAACUGUUGCUUUAUUGAUAUUAAAACUACGAAAGAAA
Portunus trituberculatus (swimming crab) is the source of this 1604-nucleotide long non-coding RNA. RefSeq lists it as uncharacterized. NCBI's taxonomy places the organism in Eukaryota, Metazoa, Arthropoda, Malacostraca, Decapoda, Portunidae. The transcript has 2 exons. The record is from RefSeq and is a predicted model, not a curated record.